GACGAACGCUGGCGGCGCGCCUAAUACAUGCAAGUCGAGCGAGAAGACGUAGCAAUACGUUUGUAAAGCGGCGAACGGGUGAGGAAUACAUGGGUAACCUACCCUCGAGUGGGGAAUAACUAGCCGAAAGGUUAGCUAAUACCGCGUACGCUCCUUGGACUUCGGUUCAGGGAGGAAAGCGAUACCGUGGGUAUCGCGCUCUUGGAUGGGCUCAUGUCCUAUCAGCUUGUUGGGAGGUAACGGCUCACCAAGGCUUCGACGGGUAGCUGGUCUGAGAGGACGAUCAGCCACACUGGCACUGCGACACGGGCCAGACUCCUACGGGAGGCAGCAGUAAGGAAUAUUGCGCAAUGGGCGAAAGCCUGACGCAGCGACGCCGCGUGGGGGAUGAAGGUCUUCGGAUUGUAAACCCCUUUCGGGAGGGAAGAUGGAACGAGCAAUCGUUCGGACGGUACCUCCAGAAGCAGCCACGGCUAACUUCGUGCCAGCAGCCGCCGUAAC
This 501-nucleotide ribosomal RNA is filed under the name uncultured bacterium. RNAcentral describes it as "bacterial SSU rRNA". It matches the Rfam family "Bacterial small subunit ribosomal RNA", at positions 28 to 524 of the family's 1533-position model. The record is from RNAcentral.